CCGGCUCAUGAGUGCUACA
Molecule: non-coding RNA, 19 nt
Filed under: Arabidopsis thaliana (thale cress)
Lineage: Eukaryota; Viridiplantae; Streptophyta; Magnoliopsida; Brassicales; Brassicaceae
Source: RNAcentral